Molecule: ribosomal RNA, 500 nt
Filed under: uncultured bacterium
Lineage: Bacteria
Description: partial 16S ribosomal RNA
Rfam family: Bacterial small subunit ribosomal RNA
Source: RNAcentral
AUUGAACGCUGGCGGCAUGCCUUACACAUGCAAGUCGAACGGCAGCACGGGAGCAAUCCUGGUGGCGAGUGGCGAACGGGUGAGUAAAGUAUCGGAACGUGCCCAGUCGUGGGGGAUAACGUAGCGAAAGUUACGCUAAUACUGCAUACGAUCUAUGGAUGAAAGCGGGGGAUCGCAAGACCUCGUGCGAUUGGAGCGGCCGAUAUCAGAUUAGGUAGUUGGUGGGGUAAAGGCUCACCAAGCCGACGAUCUGUGGCUGGUCUGAGAGGACGACCAGCCACACUGGGACUGAGACACGGCCCAGACUCCUACGGGAGGCAGCAGUGGGGAAUUUUGGACAAUGGGCGAAAGCCUGAUCCAGCCAUGCCGCGUGCAGGAUGAAGGCCUUCGGGUUGUAAACUGCUUUUGUACGGAACGAAAAGGUUUGGCCUAAUAAGCUGAGCUCAUGACGGUACCGUAAGAAUAAGCACCGGCUAACUACGUGCCAGCCGCCGCGGUAA